ACUCAAAUGAAUUGACGGGCACCCGCACAAGCGGUGGAGCAUGCUGUUUAAUUCGAAAAUACGCGAAGAACCUUACCUAGGUUUGACAUCCCGUGCAAAGCUAUAGAGAUAUAGUGGAGGUUAUCACGGUGACAGAUGGUGCAUGGUUGUCGUCAGCUCGUGUCGUGAGAUGUUUGGUUAAGUCCAACAACGAGCGCAACCCCUAUUAUUAGUUGCUAACAUUUAGUUGAGAACCCUAAUAAUACUGCCGGUGUAAGCCGGAGGAAGGUGGGGAUGAGGUCAAAUCAUCAUGCCUCUUACAUCUAGGGCUACAGGCGUGCUACAAUGGCUGGUACAACGAGUCGCAACACGGUGACGUGAAGCUAAUCUCUGAAAGCCAGUCCCAGUUCGGAUUGGAGUCUGCAACUCGACUCCAUGAAGUUGGAAUCGCUAGUAAUCCCGAAUCAGAAUGUCGGGGUGAAUACGUUCUCGGGUGUUGUACACACCGCCCGU
RNAcentral lists this ribosomal RNA (492 nucleotides) under uncultured bacterium. RNAcentral describes it as "bacterial SSU rRNA". It matches the Rfam family "Bacterial small subunit ribosomal RNA", at positions 899 to 1397 of the family's 1533-position model. The record is from RNAcentral.